This 583-nucleotide ribosomal RNA is filed under the name cyanobacterium LS123. RNAcentral's name for it is "bacterial SSU rRNA". It matches the Rfam family "Bacterial small subunit ribosomal RNA", at positions 122 to 738 of the family's 1533-position model. The record is from RNAcentral. Lineage: Bacteria; Bacillati; Cyanobacteriota.
GAAUCUACCCUUAGGAAGAGGAUAACAGCUGGAAGCGGUUGCUAAUACUCUAUACGCCGAGAGGUAAAAGGAUCUAUCCCUUAGGAAGGGCUCGCGUCUGAUUAGCUUGUUGGUAGGGUAAUGGCCUACCAAGGCGACGAUCAGUAGCUGGUUUGAGAGGACGACCAGCCACACUGGGACUGAGACACGGCCCAGACUCNUACGGGAGGCAGCAGUGGGGAAUUUUCCGCAAUGGGCGAAAGCCUGACGGAGCAAUACCGCGUGAGGGAUGACAGCCUGUGGGUUGUAAACCUCUUUUNUCAAGGAAGAAGUUCUGACGGUACUUGAGGAAUAAGCAUCGGCUAACUCUGUGCCAGCAGCCGCGGUAAUACAGAGGAUGCAAGCGUUAUCCGGAAUCACUGGGCAUAAAGCGUCUGUAGGUUGCCUGCCAAGUCUGCUGUUAAAGAUUAGGGCUUAACCCUGGGAAAGCAGUGGAAACUAGUAGGCUUGAGUGUGGUAGAGGUAGAGGGAAUUCCUAGUGUAGCGGUGAAAUGCGUAGAUAUUAGGAAGAACACCAAUGGCGAAAGCACUCUACUGGGCCGCA